GACCUCUUAGCUCAGUGGUAGAGCGUGAGAUUCCAGCGUCUGGGAUUUCCUCAAGGUCGUCCGUUCAAUCCGGGCAGGGGUCA
This 83-nucleotide transfer RNA is filed under the name Dentipellis sp. KUC8613. It matches the Rfam family "tRNA". Rfam says of the family: Transfer RNA (tRNA) molecules are approximately 80 nucleotides in length. Their secondary structure includes four short double-helical elements and three loops (D, anti-codon, and T loops). Lineage: Eukaryota; Fungi; Basidiomycota; Agaricomycetes; Russulales; Hericiaceae. The record is from Rfam by way of RNAcentral.